Molecule: ribosomal RNA, 253 nt
Filed under: uncultured bacterium
Lineage: Bacteria
Description: partial 16S ribosomal RNA
Rfam family: Bacterial small subunit ribosomal RNA
Source: RNAcentral
UACAGGGGGGGCAAGCGUUGUUCGGAAUUACUGGGCGUAAAGGGUCUGUAGGUGGCCAACUAAGUCAGACGUGAAAUCCCUCAGCUUAACUGGGGAACUGCGUCUGAUACUGGAUGGCUUGGAUUCGGGAGAGGAAUGCGGAAUUCCAGGUGUAGCGGUGAAAUGCGUAGAUAUCGGGAGGAACACCGGUGGCGAAGGCGGUUCUCUGGGCCUGACCUGACGCUGAGGAGCGAAAGCGUGGGGAGCGAACAGG